AAGUUCCCUUCUGUCCACUAACUCCUUCUGUCUCCGAGACCUGACUCAAGCACAGAAAGGGAGAGCUAAUUUUUGGGCCCCCUUUAUUUAUUUAAGCUGUAGCACUCUGCUCUGUGCUUCUGAAGUCACCUGCAGAGGUGACUGGGAGUCAGAAGCACUAAUUUGAUAGAGGAAGGGGCGGAGCUCUGCUCAGGAGACCUUAGGCUUUAUCAGGCUUUCCCACUCUGGGGCUAAUGCCUCCUCCAGCCUAAAGCACAGGUUUGGAUCUCUCCACCCAAUACCGGCAAGACACCAGCCCUGGGAGUGGUGGAGGCUGGGGGCUCUCCGAAACCAGGACCAUGCAUUGCACCAGGAGAAUGGAGGAUAGGGGUUCGCAAGACUACCAAGCAUGGACAGUCAGGGGCUCACCACCUACAGCCCCUCAAGAAGAUGUGUUGGCGGAGUCAGGAGGCCCUGGGAUUCUCCUGAGCCUUCACUUGAGAUAGGCAAAGGGUCCAGGAGUUCACAAGGAUCUCCCUGUGUAGCCCAGAAUGGCUUGGAACUCAAUGUCCUCCCCCAGGAUUACAAGCACCAACCCCACACCUAGCAAAACUCCCCACUUAUAAGGGGGCUCCCAGUCCUGGAGAGAUGGCUCUGUGGGUUAAGAGCACUGACUGCUCUUCCAGAGGACUUGAGCAACCACACGGCCGCUAACAACUGUCUAUAGCGCCAAGACCGGCCACCCUCACACAGACAUACAUGCAGGCAACACCACCCAAACAUAUAAAAUAUCAAUAAAUAUGAUUUUUAAAAAGUAAGGGGGUUCCAUGCUCUUCCUUGGAAGCAGCAGCCCCUUUCCAGCCUUCCUGUCUCAUUUCAAGAUGAGCUAUGACAGUGUGCUUGGACUGAGUCCCCUUCCUACCUUCCACUGAGAUCCUAGUUUGAUUUUUUUUUUUUUAACUUCAGAGACUGCUGGGUGGCGACCCAUCAGGAUCAUAAAUGUGGAAAAUUGAGAAAAACAUCUGGAGGGAGAUUCAGAUUCCAUUACACUCCAGACUGGUGGGUGACUGGGCUCCCUUGUCCUUUCCAGGGUCCUGCCAGGCUGGGGACCAGUCUCUUUGGAAGGUACUGUAAGCCAGCUAGGUGAAUGGCCCAGAGGAGAGAGGAGCCCUUCCUUAGGGAAGGGCUUAAGGCUGGAGCAGGAAGGGCUUAAGCCAAGUCUGCUGCUACUUUGCCACGAUAUGUUCUCACCAAGAACUGGUCCCGCUCCUCUGAGUGGCGUAGAUGGGAAUUAGCCGUGGCUGGAAAGCAUUAGUGGCCAAAUCAGUCUAAGAUGUCCUGCAAAACCACUUUUCUAUUUUUUCCCCCUCCCUUCCCUUCUGCCUUGACCAUGUUAGGAUUCCCUAAUCCCCACCAACAGACACACAAGAGACAGCUCCCACACAUGUGAGUUCGCUGAGCCUCUGGAACAUGUGCCCAUACACAAAUCACCUCCACCCCCAGCCGAGCGAGCGAGCUAUCACGGUGCAGCUGUGUGUCACAAACGCUGGCCAGCUAUUUCUCACAGCAAAGCACUUUUUUUUUUUCCUCCCUCCUCCAGAACUAAGUAAGCUGGGGAAUGCCCAAGUUUUUCAGCACCCUUAAACAUCAUGACACUCAGACCUACUGUGAACCGCCUUAGCAGCCACUAGGGCUGCAAGCCAGAGCUUGCAUCGAGGUGGGAGAGAGAAGAGAUCCAGUCUCCACUGCGAGGCACACAGCCCAGCUGGAUGGAGAAAAUGCAAGCCAGCCGGCCAACAUCACAAGCUGACCAGUUGUGUCCUGUCAGGAAGCCAGCUGCCUCUGAACCCGCCACAGGACUUACUGUAUUGUUCUGGGUACAAUCAUGAAACCAGCCCCAGCCCUGGGCGAGGGGUGGUUUGGAGAAAAGGUUCUCUCCAGGGUCAGGAUGACAGGGAAGGGGAAGCGGCUUUUAGGCUAGAUCCUGAACAGGAAAGCAAGGAGCCGCCGCCGGGGCACGACCCUUAAACCACGUCGCGUGGAACUUGGAGCAUAUGGUCAGCUCAGGAAACCGCUGGGGUGCGGGAAGCUCUCCGAGUGCGGUUGCCGGGACUUAAGACUCGGGUUAAAGAGCAUAGGUGCUCGCGGGCCAGGAAAGCAAGGGUUUAAUCAGGCCCCGAUUUGAAGGGAGAACUAUGGAAGGAGGCCGGGAGGCACGUGCCUCCCUUCAGUCAGGUUUUCCUACCAAAUCGUUGAGUAAUUAAGUUAAUCGAUAAACAGCCAAACUAUAUGCGCAAUGGGAGAGAGCCCAAGAGGAGAUGGGGCACGGGGUCAGAUCAGAAGCGCCUGCAUUCCAAGGACAGGCUUAGCGGUCUCAGGCUCCCCUGCCCAAGAAGCCGGGCUGGGAGCAGAGCUCAGCAGGCCCGGGGCGGGGCACCGCAGACUGGGUUAUCCCAGUUAGAGGAACCAGGCUAGCUAGCUGAAACCAGCAGGCUCCCUGUCAUGCGGGCUCCGAAGCCUCAAAGGUGGUGAGGACCACAGCCACCUAAUGGGUCCCUGACACCGAUCCCACUCUCACCCAGCUCAGGGCCUCGUAAGGCUGCAACACUAGCCAAUCUGGGACAAGGGACACGGAGUGGUCCCUCCACCGUCCACACGCACUUCACCUGUGCAGGUGAGCAGGCUUCCGCGAUGCCUCUCGCUCUGGGGCCAUACCGGGGUUUCUCUGAUCCUAGAACUUCGAGUUUCCCGGUUGUCGCCUGGACUCAGACUUUCCCCAGGCUCUCAAGUGGCAAGAUCGUCGCCCCCCCCCCCCCCCCCACUUAAGUCCCACUAAUUGACCAUACCCGGCACAAACUAAGGUACUCACAA
Long non-coding RNA from Mus musculus (house mouse), 2850 nucleotides. RefSeq annotates it as predicted gene, 39151. The transcript has 3 exons. NCBI's taxonomy places the organism in Eukaryota, Metazoa, Chordata, Mammalia, Rodentia, Muridae. The record is from RefSeq and is a predicted model, not a curated record.